Molecule: ribosomal RNA, 564 nt
Filed under: Streptomyces sp. 418C06
Lineage: Bacteria; Bacillati; Actinomycetota; Actinomycetes; Kitasatosporales; Streptomycetaceae
Description: bacterial SSU rRNA
Rfam family: Bacterial small subunit ribosomal RNA
Source: RNAcentral
UAGUGGCGAACGGGUGAGUAACACGUGGGCAAUCUGCCCUUCACUCUGGGACAAGCCCUGGAAACGGGGUCUAAUACCGGAUAUCACUUCUGCAGGCAUCUGUGGGAGUUGAAAGCUCCGGCGGUGAAGGAUGAGCCCGCGGCCUAUCAGCUUGUUGGUGAGGUAAUGGCUCACCAAGGCGACGACGGGUAGCCGGCCUGAGAGGGCGACCGGCCACACUGGGACUGAGACACGGCCCAGACUCCUACGGGAGGCAGCAGUGGGGAAUAUUGCACAAUGGGCGAAAGCCUGAUGCAGCGACGCCGCGUGAGGGAUGACGGCCUUCGGGUUGUAAACCUCUUUCAGCAGGGAAGAAGCGAAAGUGACGGUACCUGCAGAAGAAGCGCCGGCUAACUACGUGCCAGCAGCCGCGGUAAUACGUAGGGCGCAAGCGUUGUCCGGAAUUAUUGGGCGUAAAGAGCUCGUAGGCGGCUUGUCACGUCGGGUGUGAAAGCCCGGGGCUUAACCCCGGGUCUGCAUUCGAUACGGGCUAGCUAGAGUGUGGUAGGGGAGAUCGGAUUUCCU